CUGAGAGAGAAACACGAUGGUCGAGUUCAGGUGGAUUACAUUUUCUUUAUUUCUGAUGCUGGUGGGCAGUUUGACAGCAGUAACAGGGAAGUACCCCUCUGUCGCUGUCAGAGUUGGAGAUGAACUAAGUUUGUCUUGUGAAAAUGUGAAACACGAUCAGGAGAGGUGCAACAGUACUACCUGGAUCUUCUUUGGUUCAACAAAGGCAGUACGUCUGUUUGAUCGUGGGCAGAUUCACAAAGAAGCCCAAACUAAAUCAGACAGACUGAGUGUUAGAGAGAACUGUUCUCUGGUCAUCAUAGACAUCACCAUCGAAGACGGUGGUGACUACUUCUGCAUGCAGAUGGAAUCAGGAGAACAACAAGGUCCAGUCACUGAUGUUUAUCUGUCUGUUGUCACCAUGACGGAACAUCAGGAGGCUGAUGAUUGGACUUUAAACUGCUCUGCGUCGUAUCAUGGAUGGUGUAGACACACAGUGAAGUUGCUGUAUGAAGGUAAAGAGGUGGCUGAAGAUGAAGACAUGACGACAUCACAGACUAACUGCUCAGCUGCUGUGACAUUUUAUGAUCCCAAGAAGUCAAAGCAUAAUGAGUCCUUUGAGUGUGAAGUGACUGAAAUUUUCACUGGAAAAGUUCAGCAGUUUACCUUCAGCCGUCAGUCCUCAGGAGAGAAAACAGGUGAUGAUGCACAAACCACAAUGUCUACAACAACCACAGUGUCAAUAACAGUUAGGUGGCGGUUCAUCAUUGUGUCCGUGGGUUUGUCAGCACUCUUAAUAAGUGUUGUUACAGUCAAUAUGUGGACGAGAACUAAAGAGAACAAAACACAGAGGGAAGAAAACAGGGAGCAUGAUGAUGAAGAUGAAGAUGAAGGUACAGUGGUCUAUAAAAACACCGGAGAGCCGUCUGCCUCCGUCAGAAUCCACUGAUCAUCAACAUCAACUCACCAGAGAAACAAGUCCACUGCUGUUAAACAUCACCUCAUCAUAUUUCACAUGAGGAGAUAACAAUAGAAUCAUGACAUCUUUUUAAGAGUUAGACUGAAUCUAUUUGCUUUUAUUCAUUAAUAUGACAAAUGUCUUUUCUGUGCCGAGCUCUUUGUGUUUCAGUCUGAGCUGGACUAACAGGCUGGAGUCAAACUGGUGGACGAGGAGUUUGACUCUUCAGCUGUCUGUGUAUGUGUGCUGUAAACAUCAUGAAUCCUGACUGUUUUACAAUAAAGCAUAUAAAGAUAAUAAGUUG
RNAcentral lists this long non-coding RNA (1241 nucleotides) under Sparus aurata (gilthead seabream). Its description in RNAcentral is "lncRNA (ENSSAUG00010019448.1)". The record is from RNAcentral. Lineage: Eukaryota; Metazoa; Chordata; Actinopteri; Spariformes; Sparidae.